This 528-nucleotide small RNA is filed under the name Pan troglodytes (chimpanzee). RNAcentral's name for it is "retained intron". Lineage: Eukaryota; Metazoa; Chordata; Mammalia; Primates; Hominidae. The record is from RNAcentral.
AGUCACCUUCAGUUUCUGGAGCUGACCGUCAACAUGUCCUUUCCUAAGGCGCCCCUGAAACGAUUCAAUGACCCUUCUGGUUGUGCACCAUCUCCAGGUGCUUAUGAUGUUAAAACUUUAGAAGUAUUGAAAGGACCAGUAUCCUUUCAGAAAUCACAAAGAUUUAAACAACAAAAAGAAUCUAAACAAAAUCUUAAUGUUGACAAAGAUACUACCUUGCCUGCUUCAGCUAGAAAAGUUAAGUCUUCAGAAUCAAAGAUUCGUGUUCUUCUACAGGAACGUGGUGCCCAGGACAGGCGGAUCCAGGAUCUGGAAACUGAGUUGGAAAAGAUGGAAGCAAGGCUAAAUGCUGCAUUCAGGGAAAAAACAUCUCUCUCUGCAAAUAAUGCUACACUGGAAAAACAACUUAUUGAAUUGACCAGGACUAAUGAACUACUAAAAUCUAAGGUAUCUGAGCCUCAUGAUAACAUUUACAAUUGAAUAAAUAUAAACACGUUUUUUAGGGCCGGGCAUGGUGGCUCACGCCUG